RNAcentral lists this long non-coding RNA (471 nucleotides) under Homo sapiens (human). RNAcentral describes it as "HSALNT0393485". Lineage: Eukaryota; Metazoa; Chordata; Mammalia; Primates; Hominidae. The record is from RNAcentral.
UUUAUGGAUCUCAGCUUUCUUAUGAAAACAAGAAGCCGACAGAAUGCUCUUUUCUCUAAAUUUCUAUUAUUUUCAACUGCAAGAGCGAGGAGAGCAAAAAUCUCUAGUCAUCUUUUAUUUGUAACUGGUUUUUAGUUAGGAAUUUGGAUCCUAGGAAGAGCCUCAAGAAACUGGAUAGACUCCUCUAGGACAUCUCACAGGAAUGAAUAACCUUGAAAACUUGAAAGUGGAUUCGACUACCUGGUGACACAGACCACAUGGAAAGGACAUCUUAGUCUGAUAGCCUCCAGCACCAUAAACUUGGAUAAGCCAUCUGACCUCUCCAGGACUUGGUUUAUUCAUUUGGGCCAAGUGACUCAUAAGGUCUGUGCCAGAUCUAAAAACAUCAUGGGUUUGUAUUAUUGGUGGGGAAUACUUUAAUAAAGCUCAGAUUGACAAAUGUUGCAAAGCUAUACUUUAAAUACAAAGACA